UGGCCACAUGGUCCCAAAUUCCCAAUAACGCAAAACAAAUAUUCAUUUGAGAGUUGAAGAAUCCAGCGUCAACGCUAUAAAUCUGACAACAUAAAGAGUCCCGUAAUCAUAAUUCCUUUGCGCAAAACUCACACACGCUUUCAUCAAAAUAGUCGUCUGUUCCUCGACCAAAUUGCUCUGUUUUUUCCAUAAAUUUUUUAUUCUUCACUCCUUUAAUCGAAAGAGUAGAAUCUGGUGAUCGAAAAUGGGGUGUUGCAGUAGCAAGGCGGCAGAUACUAAAGCCACCCGAAUGGCUCGAUGGCGUUCUACUGGCAUCGUUGCUUUACGCGACUCCAAAUUGAAGUCUUUUCCAGAUGAAGUUAUUAGCCUGGAGAGAUCUGUACGCACCCUCGACUUGACACACAAUAAAUUGGUUCAUAUUCCCAUGGAGAUCAACAAGUUAAUUAACUUACAGCGUCUAAUUUUGGCUGAUAACCUUAUUGAGCAUAUGCCCGUGAACCUGGGAUUGCUUCAGUCUUUGAAAGUUGCAACACUUGAUGGGAAUCAAAUUACAACCUUGCCUGAUGAAUUGGGCCAGUUAGUGAAGCUUGAGCGUUUAUCUGUCUCAGCAAACUUGUUAACGAGCUUGCCUGACACCAUUGGGAGCUUGCGGAAUUUGGUGCUGUUGGAUGUUUCAAACAAUAAGUUAAAGUUUCUUCCUGAAUCUAUUGGAAGUUGCUUCUCUUUGGAAGAAUUGCAAGCUAAUGAUAAUUCUAUUGAAGAGCUUCCUGCUUCUGUUUGCAAUCUUGUUCAACUAAAGUCACUCUGCCUGAACAAUAACAAUCUCAAUCAGAUGCCUCUAAAUUUGUUAAGAGAAUGCAAGAGCUUGCAGAAUAUAGCACUGCACAGAAAUCCCAUUUCCAUGGACCAAUUUCAACAGAUGGAAGGCUUCAAGGAAUUUGAAGCCCGCCGUAAACAGAAGUUUGAUAAACAAAUUGAUUCAAAUGUGAUAAUCAGUUCUAAAGGGCUUGAUGAGGGUGUUGACUUGUGAUUCCUCUCCACAGGCAGUUUACGACUACAUGCAUGUCUUCAAUACUUUCUCUUACCUCCCAGCCUGGUGUGCCUGGAAAGUUGCCUCUUCUCAUUCACGUCCCAGGCUUAUAUCUUGUACUAUUUGCCAUUAUAUCUGUACCACUAAGUGUGUAUAUUUUUGGGAAUAUAUUAGUGACUUCAAACAAAAGAUGGAGAAUGGUUAACUUUGCGGCUUGAGGUUGGAUGGCAUUGUGACAGCUUUGACUUUGAUGAAAGGCGAUUGCUUGUGCCGCUUUACAUGAGUCAUUGUCAAGCCCUUCUAUAGUUUAUCAUGGAUUGUCAGCUUUGACUUGUGCGUAAUUGUAUCUAUACUUGAGUUACACUAAUUGUAAAUGAUAUGCAGACCUAACGAUUUCCUUUACCUUUUUGAUAAUUUUAUACAUAUUCAGUGAGCUGUAUAUCAUCAUUCAAAACCAAUGAUUAAAAACCUUAGUAAA
Nicotiana tabacum (common tobacco) is the source of this 1508-nucleotide RNA transcript. It is a transcript of the gene named plant intracellular Ras-group-related LRR protein 7, with no coding region annotated. The record is from RefSeq and is a predicted model, not a curated record. NCBI's taxonomy places the organism in Eukaryota, Viridiplantae, Streptophyta, Magnoliopsida, Solanales, Solanaceae.